CCCUUAGAUGUCCUGGGCCGCACGCGCGCUACACUGAUGCAUUCAACGAGUAUUUCCUUGGCCGAGAGGCCUGGGCAAUCUUUUAAACCUGCAUCGUGAUAGGGAUAGAUUAUUGCAAUUAUUAAUCUUGAACGAGGAAUUCCUAGUAAACGCAAAUCAUCAAUUUGCAUUGAUUACGUCCCUGCCCUUUGUACACACCGCCCGUCGCACCUACCGAUUGAAUGGUCCGGUGAAAUCUCGGGAUUGUGGCCAGUUCACUUUAUUGGGAGUUGGCUGCGAGAACUCGCUUAAACCUUAUCAUUUAGAGGAAGGUGAAGUCGUAACA
RNAcentral lists this ribosomal RNA (325 nucleotides) under uncultured eukaryote. Its description in RNAcentral is "partial 18S ribosomal RNA". It matches the Rfam family "Eukaryotic small subunit ribosomal RNA", at positions 1470 to 1796 of the family's 1831-position model. The record is from RNAcentral.